AACAUUGCGCAGAGGCAAUAUCGUAACCAAUGAGGUUAAUCCGAGGUGCGAUUAUUGCUGGUUGAAAACUUUACCAAUACGCCGCCAAGUGGACGUGAAAUAACGUCCGCUACGGCAAUUUGUGUACAGCUGUUGAGGCCACAGA
Molecule: small nuclear RNA, 145 nt
Organism: Operophtera brumata (winter moth)
Lineage: Eukaryota; Metazoa; Arthropoda; Insecta; Lepidoptera; Geometridae
Rfam family: U4 spliceosomal RNA
About the family: U4 small nuclear RNA (U4 snRNA) is a component of the major U2-dependent spliceosome.
Source: Rfam